Drosophila navojoa is the source of this 1359-nucleotide long non-coding RNA. RefSeq lists it as uncharacterized. The record is from RefSeq and is a predicted model, not a curated record. NCBI's taxonomy places the organism in Eukaryota, Metazoa, Arthropoda, Insecta, Diptera, Drosophilidae.
GUGUGGGCUAGAGCGAGCGAGCGAGAGCGGGCCUAUAAAUUUCAUAUGUGCAAUGUUUGUGCCUGGCUGCUGUGCUGUGCGUUGUAUCAGCUAACCGGAUGUUGAUUUGUUGGCCGCAACAAACACAAAACAUGGUCCAAGCCAAGCAGCAGCCAUCUUAACACUCACACCCAUAUCCACCAACACACACACACACACAUAGAGAGAGAGACACACGCACACCCUCGCUGGUACAUUUGCAACACUGGCGCUGCCUUUAAGCACGAUGAAAAAGAAUGCAAAAUGAUGCUAGAUAAAAGACUUGCAACACGCUUGAAUGAGGCCAGAAAACAAAGCCAGACAAGAGUGCAUAUUCACAUACUCCCUAUACACUCCUUAUAUACUCUCUCUCUUUCUCUCUCUCUCUCUUUAUCUACUCUAUAUUCUAUAUAUAGGCAGCCAUGGAACGGACAAGCACAGCUUUAAAUAGAAACUAAAAGACUGACAGCGCUAGAGCCAGACAAAUUGAUCUGGCUACGAGCUGACGAAGCAGUUUCCCCAACAAUAAUCCGCACACAUGCUUGUAAAUGAGAGGCCACAAAUUUAUGCCAAGUGCCCGGGGCAGAGGAGACGGGACACGGUACGCAGGAUGCAGGAUGAAGAACGAAGUACGAAGGAUGAAGGCCGGGAUGCGUUCUCUAGCACACACUUCCGGCACGAGCACGUCAGACUUGACUUGACUUGAGACUUCAGAAAACUUGGCUACUCUCGCUCUAUCUGUCUCUGUUUUUCGCUUCAGAGCGGGGGGCGUGGCAGCACCCCCCGAAGUCUCAGGUAAUUAUGCAUAUUUAAGCAGUUUUGUCUACAACAGUUUUGCGAACCUAAAAGCGUCCUUUCAAAUGAAUUAUUUAUGCAAACUGUGCGAGGGGGUCGCAGGGCGCGGCUGGGCGGGGCGUGGCGUGGCACAGAGCACAUAGCUAGGAUCCUGGCAUAUGCAAACAUUACCUCAAGUCGUUGUCAAGCGGAUUUGAUGGAGCCUGGGGCCUGACAGCCCCGUUGUAUACGUAAUGUGGUAAUGUGUUUAUGCGCUCUUUAAAGCCCAUCCGCACACACACACACACACACACACACACAAUCGUACCGGCACGCUCACGCACACACAUUGAGGGCAGACUGUAGCUAUAAUUGCGUCCCUCUAAAUACACAUGGAAAUGCCAUAACAUGUAUAUAGAAAUGUGUACCUCUAUAUUGCGCCUUGAAAUUAAUGCCACACUAUUAAUGCUAAUGUCGAAACAUCGCUCCAGCGCACUUCACAUUUGUCAAUGACGAAACAUUUACGCCAGCCAUACCCUAUCGACAAAAACAACAAGUAGGUUAGAG